RNAcentral lists this ribosomal RNA (206 nucleotides) under uncultured bacterium. Its description in RNAcentral is "partial 16S ribosomal RNA". It matches the Rfam family "Bacterial small subunit ribosomal RNA", at positions 1295 to 1500 of the family's 1533-position model. The record is from RNAcentral.
GGAUCGCAGGCUGCAACCCGCCUGCGUGAAGUCGGAAUCGCUAGUAAUCGCGGAUCAGCAUGCCGCGGUGAAUACGUUCCCGGGCCUUGUACACACCGCCCGUCACACCAUGAGAGUCGGGAACACCCGAAGUCCGUAGUCUAACCGCAAGGGGGACGCGGCCGAAGGUGGGUUCGAUAAUUGGGGUGAAGUCGUAACAAGGUAGC